GACGAACGCUGGCGGCGUGCUUAACACAUGCAAGUCGAACGGAAAGGCCCUGCUUUUGUGGGGUGCUCGAGUGGCGAACGGGUGAGUAACACGUGAGUAACCUGCCCUUGACUUUGGGAUAACUUCAGGAAACUGGGGCUAAUACCGGAUAGGAGCUCCUGCUGCAUGGUGGGGGUUGGAAAGUUUCGGCGGUUGGGGAUGGACUCGCGGCUUAUCAGCUUGUUGGUGGGGUAGUGGCUUACCAAGGCUUUGACGGGUAGCCGGCCUGAGAGGGUGACCGGCCACAUUGGGACGGAGAUACGGCCCAGACUCCUACGGGAGGCAGCAGUGGGGAAUAUUGCACAAUGGGCGGAAGCCUGAUGCAGCAACGCCGCGUGCGGGAUGACGGCCUUCGGGUUGUAAACCGCUUUCGCCUGUGACGAAGCGUGAGUGACGGUAAUGGUAAAGAAGCACCGGCUAACUACGUG
RNAcentral lists this ribosomal RNA (467 nucleotides) under uncultured bacterium. RNAcentral describes it as "partial 16S ribosomal RNA". It matches the Rfam family "Bacterial small subunit ribosomal RNA", at positions 28 to 507 of the family's 1533-position model. The record is from RNAcentral.